This 197-nucleotide ribosomal RNA is filed under the name uncultured bacterium. RNAcentral's name for it is "partial 16S ribosomal RNA". It matches the Rfam family "Bacterial small subunit ribosomal RNA", at positions 328 to 538 of the family's 1533-position model. The record is from RNAcentral.
ACGCUCGACACCUACGGGAGCAGCAGUCGGGAAUAUUGCGCAAUGGAGGAAACUCUGACGCAGUGACGCCGCGUAUGGGAAGAAGGUUUUCGGAUUGUAAACCAUUUUAGACAAGGAAGAAACAAGACAGUACUUGUAGAAUAAGCUCCGGCUAACUACGUGCCAGCAGCCUGGAGUAUGAGCGGCGGUGCGAGACG